CACUGGAUAGCUCAGAUGGUUAGAGCAUCGGACUGUUAAUCCGACUGUCGCGGGUUCGAUUCCCGCUCCAACGC
This 74-nucleotide transfer RNA is filed under the name Pseudoxanthomonas sp. 3HH-4. RNAcentral's name for it is "tRNA-Asn". It matches the Rfam family "tRNA". From Rfam's summary of the family: Transfer RNA (tRNA) molecules are approximately 80 nucleotides in length. Their secondary structure includes four short double-helical elements and three loops (D, anti-codon, and T loops). The record is from RNAcentral. Lineage: Bacteria; Pseudomonadati; Pseudomonadota; Gammaproteobacteria; Lysobacterales; Lysobacteraceae.